CCUACGGGGGGCAGCAGUGGGGGAUAUUGCACAAUGGGGGAAACCCUGAUGCAGCGACGCCGCGUGGGUGAAGAAGCGCCUCGGCGCGUAAAGCCCUGUCAGCAGGGAAGAAAAUGACGGUACCUGAAGAAGAAGCCCCGGCUAACUACGUGCCAGCAGCCGCGGUAAUACGUAGGGGGCAAGCGUUAGCCGGAUUUACGGGGUGUAAAGGGGGCGCAGACGGCGAUGCAAGCCAGGAGUGAAAGCCCGGGGCCUAACCCCGGGACUGCUCUUGGAACUGCGUGGCUAGAGUGCAGGAGGGGCAGGCGGAAUUCCCGGUGUAGCGGUGAAAUGCGUAGAUAUCAGGAGGAACACCAGUGGCGAAGGCGGCCUGCUGGACUGCAACUGACGUUGAGGCCCGAAAGCGUGGGGAGCAAACAGGAUUAGAUACCCCAGUAGUC
RNAcentral lists this ribosomal RNA (440 nucleotides) under uncultured bacterium. Its description in RNAcentral is "partial 16S ribosomal RNA". It matches the Rfam family "Bacterial small subunit ribosomal RNA", at positions 338 to 795 of the family's 1533-position model. The record is from RNAcentral.